AGUGAACGCUGGCGGUAGGCCUAACACAUGCAUGUCGAACGGCAGCACAGUAAGAGCUUGCUCUUACGGGUGGCGAGUGGCGGACGGGUGAGGAAUACAUCGGAAUCUACUUUUUCGUGGGGGAUAACGUAGGGAAACUUACGCUAAUACCGCAUACGACCUACGGGUGAAAGCAGGGGAUCUUCGGACCUUGCGCGAUUGAAUGAGCCGAUGUCGGAUUAGCUAGUUGGUGGGGUAAAGGCCCACCAAGGCGACGAUCCGUAGCUGGUCUGAGAGGAUGAUCAGCCACACGGGAACUGAGACACGGUCCAGACUCCUACGGGAGGCAGCAGUGGGGAAUAUUGGACAAUGGGCGCAAGCCUGAUCCAGCCAUCCCGCGUGGGUGAAGAAGGCCUUCGGGUUGUAAAGCCCUUUUGUUGGGAAAGAAAAGCAGCAGGUUAAUACCCCGCUGUUCUGACGGUACCCAAAGAAUAAGCACCGGCUAACUUCGUG
Molecule: ribosomal RNA, 492 nt
Filed under: uncultured bacterium
Lineage: Bacteria
Description: partial 16S ribosomal RNA
Rfam family: Bacterial small subunit ribosomal RNA
Source: RNAcentral